Long non-coding RNA from Solenopsis invicta (red fire ant), 286 nucleotides. RefSeq lists it as uncharacterized. NCBI's taxonomy places the organism in Eukaryota, Metazoa, Arthropoda, Insecta, Hymenoptera, Formicidae. The transcript is spliced from 3 exons. The record is from RefSeq and is a predicted model, not a curated record.
UUAACUUUGUGUUUGAGGGUGCGUGGAUUCUAACUUGGAAUUAUCAGUACUGUAGACAUAUACCGUAUAAGGAGGGUUGUCUUUGUGAGAAUAUUUGUAAGGGGAAGAGCUAGAGCCAUCCGAAGAGGGAGAGGGGUUGCGGUUGGAAUUUUCGUCAUUGUUAGCCAGCGUGGGUGUAGGCGAUUGAGUAUGAUUCAGAGUUGAACUGGAAUGUGCGCUGUUUGUAGACGAGCUGUUUUUCUUGACUGAGUCUGUUUUGGUCUUGUUGGAUUUGCUCACCUUAGUA